Molecule: ribosomal RNA, 472 nt
Filed under: uncultured organism
Description: partial 16S ribosomal RNA
Rfam family: Bacterial small subunit ribosomal RNA
Source: RNAcentral
ACUCCUGCGGGAGGCAGCAGUGGGGAAUUUUGGACAAUGGGCGAAAGCCUGAUCCAGCAAUGCCGCGUGUGUGAAGAAGGCCUUCGGGUUGUAAAGCACUUUUGUCCGGAAAGAAAUCCUUGGCUCUGAUACAGUCGGGGGAUGACGGUACCGGAAGAAUAAGCACCGGCUAACUACGUGCCAGCAGCCGCGGUAAUACGUAGGGUGCGAGCGUUAAUCGGAAUUACUGGGCGUAAAGCGUGCGCAGGCGGUUUGCUAAGACCGAUGUGAAAUCCCCGGGCUCAACCUGGGAACUGCAUUGGUGACUGGCAGGCUAGAGUAUGGCAGAGGGGGGUAGAAUUCCACGUGUAGCAGUGAAAUGCGUAGAGAUGUGGAGGAAUACCGAUGGCGAAGGCAGCCCCCUGGGCCAAUACUGACGCUCAUGCACGAAAGCGUGGGGAGCAAACAGGAUUAGAAACCCUUGUAGUCCAUG